GUAGGGAAUAUUGCGCAAUGGACGAAAGUCUGACGCAGCGACGCCGCGUGAGUGAUGAAGGCCUUAGGGUCGUAAAGCUCUGUUGAAUGGGAAGAAAAAAAUGACGGUACCAUUCGAGGAAGGACCGGCUAACUUCGUGCCAGCAGCCGCGGUAAUACGAGGGGUCCUAGCGUUGUUCGGAAUCAUUGGGCGUAAAUGGUGUGUAGGUGGCCAUGUAAGUCAGGUGUGAAAGCCCCGGGCUCAACCCGGGAAGUGCACUUGAUACUGCGUGGCUUGAGUACCGAAGAGGGUAGUGGAAUUCCAGGUGUAGUGGUGAAAUACGUAGAUAUCUGGAGGAACACCGGUGGCGAAGGCGGCUACCUGGUCGAGUACUGACACUGAGACACGAAAGCAUGGGGAUCAAACAGGAUUAGAUACCCCAGUAGUCC
RNAcentral lists this ribosomal RNA (428 nucleotides) under uncultured bacterium. RNAcentral's name for it is "partial 16S ribosomal RNA". It matches the Rfam family "Bacterial small subunit ribosomal RNA", at positions 354 to 796 of the family's 1533-position model. The record is from RNAcentral.